AGCUUGGGCUCCUCGGCCAAAAUAAAAAGGCAGCAGUUCGUCAACUGUCAACAUCCAAGCCAGCAGCCUCUCAGAGCCUGUGCCCACAAAUUCCGUAAUCUGUCAGAUCCCAUUCAGGAAACUAGCGGAUUUGUCAAGUCCCCACUGCCGUGAAUCAGUAGGCCCGGGGGCGCCCACCACCGAAACCAGCAGCCUUGCCAACUGCACCACUCUUACCAACACAUCUCUGAAGAGCAGGGGCGAGCCUAACGGGAUGCUCCAGUCCACAUCGCCGCCGUCCGGGACCUUGAUGCGGAUGACCAACUGCUGCUGGGGCGGCGGCGGCUGCGCCUUGGGCUCCAUCUCACGGGGCACGAGCAUUGCUCGCGCGGGGCCUCAUUCUCCACCUCGCGACUGCCCGCGAGCUUGAACUGACGACCAACGGCCGCCCGCGAGCUCGGACUGACGACCAACGGCCGCCCGCGCGCCCACACCGACCGGUGACGCUCGCCUCGAUCCCAGAUCAGGACCAACGGUUGCUCGGAACCUGAACUGACGGCCUCGCCUCCAGGAAUUAUAGGGCAGUAUUUUGCAUUCGAAACCGGACCAAAAAUGACGGGAGGUGAAGUUCUUCGGACCCGUCAUCGAAAACACAUCGCGGAGCCGGCGGACGUCUUUCCUCUCUGCACCAGAGUGGGAGGAGCCCAGAAACCAACUUCUCCAGGAGCCAUGGAAGAGUUAUCGCCUGGUCACUACUCCAGCAACCAAAAUCACAACCACAAACACAUUAAAUAGGAGAAAAGAUGUACCUUUUGUCAUUGAUCUUAUUAGUUAUAAAAGGAUCGAAAAUGGGCGUUCCAAAUUCCAUUUGAUUGAGGUAGGGGCUGGGCCAAGCAGAGUUGGCAAGCCUCGUCAAAGGCAAACAUCAAGAAGGUUUCUUUUUAAAUUUUGCAGAACAAGACUGUUCAAAUAUAAAUAAAACGGACUUAGCAAAUACAA
Hemiscyllium ocellatum (epaulette shark) is the source of this 978-nucleotide long non-coding RNA. RefSeq lists it as uncharacterized. Lineage: Eukaryota; Metazoa; Chordata; Chondrichthyes; Orectolobiformes; Hemiscylliidae. The record is from RefSeq and is a predicted model, not a curated record. The transcript has 2 exons.